AUGCAACACAAAUCCAAGCUGAAAUGCAGAGCACAGAGAGAGAGAGAAAGAAAAUAUGCAUUCAAAUUUCAUUUUCUGGUCAGCAUGACAAACAUUCUGGAUAUCACUACAUUUUCAUGACUUACUACUUUGGAACCUGAAGACACAUCGCAUUUGCUUCUUUAACUCUCCCUUUUCCCUCUCUGUUCAGAUCCUGAGGAAGGACGUUCCUUGGCUGAUCUUUGACUGUUCAAACGAAGCUUGGGUGGCAUCAGCUGGGUACAGUGUGCUAUUGUUUUGCAAGGAGAUGUUCAGUAUCUGUUUUUUCUCUUUCAGAUGAGCUGACUGCAGAAACACAGCUAUGGCAUCUCCAGGCAAAGAGAGCAUCCCACGUGAUCGAAGUCCUCUCUGCAAAUGAAAAGGCUCUGCUGUUUCGCACGCCUGGAAUCACAGCCUGGAAUCACAAUGCAUGUGUGACCCUUCUCACCUUCAAAUGUGGAGGAUUCAUCAGUGGCAAUGGUGGUGGCGAGAUGGAUUUCUUGUCAACAGACCUGGGAGGACGUGCUUUAAUUAAAAGAGAGCAGUGCCUCUUGAAGGCUGAAAGUAAGGGUGUGUGUCUGUUUAAAAAAACACAGUGCGGUACAAUAUAAUGAGACGUUUG
Molecule: long non-coding RNA, 640 nt
Organism: Gallus gallus (chicken)
Lineage: Eukaryota; Metazoa; Chordata; Aves; Galliformes; Phasianidae
Source: Ensembl